UUACAAUUAAAGGAUAUUUCUCGUGAUUGCAAAAACCUCGGAAAUAUCUUCUAAUUGUUCGGU
Molecule: microRNA precursor, 63 nt
Filed under: Takifugu rubripes (torafugu)
Lineage: Eukaryota; Metazoa; Chordata; Actinopteri; Tetraodontiformes; Tetraodontidae
Description: mir-7552 microRNA precursor family
Rfam family: mir-7552 microRNA precursor family
Source: Rfam by way of RNAcentral